RNAcentral lists this unclassified non-coding RNA (358 nucleotides) under soil metagenome. RNAcentral's name for it is "partial contains 5.8S ribosomal RNA, internal transcribed spacer 2, and large subunit ribosomal RNA". The stretch from base 1 to 120 matches the Rfam family "5.8S ribosomal RNA", at positions 35 to 154 of the family's 154-position model. The record is from RNAcentral.
GAUGAAGAACGCAUCGAAAUGCGAUAAGUAAUGUGAAUUGCAGAAUUCAGUGAAUCAUCGAAUCUUUGAACGCACAUUGCGCCCGCCAGUAUUCUGGCGGGCAUGCCUGUCCGAGCGUCAUUUCAACCCUUGAACCCCUCCGGGGGGUCGGCGUUGGGGACCUCGGGAGCCCCUAAGACGGGAUCCCGGCCCCGAAAUACAGUGGCGGUCUCGCCGCAGCCUCUCCUGCGCAGUAGUUUGCACAACUCGCACCGGGAGCGCGGCGCGUCCACGUCCGUAAAACACCCAACUUCUGAAAUGUUGACCUCGGAUCAGGUAGGAAUACCCGCUGAACUUAAGCAUAUCAAUAAGCGGAGGA